RNAcentral lists this ribosomal RNA (274 nucleotides) under uncultured bacterium. Its description in RNAcentral is "partial 16S ribosomal RNA". It matches the Rfam family "Bacterial small subunit ribosomal RNA", at positions 523 to 796 of the family's 1533-position model. The record is from RNAcentral.
AUACGAAGGGGGCUAGCGUUGUUCGGAAUCACUGGGCGUAAAGCGCGCGUAGGUGGAUCAGUUAGUUGAGGGUGAAAUCCCGGGGCUCAACCUCGGAACUGCCUUCAAUACUGUUGAUCUUGAGACCGAGAGAGGUGAGUGGAAUUCCUAGUGUAGAGGUGAAAUUCGUAGAUAUUAGGAAGAACACCAGUGGCGAAGGCGGCUCACUGGCUCGGUACUGACGCUGAGGUGCGAAAGCGUGGGGAGCAAACAGGAUUAGAAACCCUAGUAGUCC